CCUACGGGCGGCUGCAGUGGGGAAUAUUGGACAAUGGGGGGAACCCUGAUCCAGCGACGCCGCGUGAGUGAAGAAGUCUUUCGGUAUGUAAAGCUCUAUCAGCCGGGAAGCAAGAAAUGACGGUACCUGACUAAGAAGCCCCGGCUAACUACGUGCCAGCAGCCGCGGUAAUACGUAGGGGGCAAGCGUUAUCCGGAUUUGCUGGGUGUAAAGGGAGCGUAGACGGCGAUGCAAGUCUGAAGUGAAAGGCGGGGGGCCAAACCCCGGACUGCUUUGGAAACUGUAUGGCUGGAGUGCAGGAGAGGUAAGUGGAAUUCGUGGUGUAGCGGUGAAAUGCGUAGAUAUUAGGAGGAACACCAGUGGCGAAGGCGGCUUACUGGACUGUAACUGACGUUGAGGCUCGAAAGCGUGGGGAGCGAACAGGAUUAGAUACCCGAGUAGUC
Molecule: ribosomal RNA, 443 nt
Filed under: uncultured bacterium
Lineage: Bacteria
Description: partial 16S ribosomal RNA
Rfam family: Bacterial small subunit ribosomal RNA
Source: RNAcentral